RNAcentral lists this ribosomal RNA (2844 nucleotides) under Escherichia coli UMEA 3671-1. Its description in RNAcentral is "bacterial LSU rRNA". It matches the Rfam family "Bacterial large subunit ribosomal RNA". Lineage: Bacteria; Pseudomonadati; Pseudomonadota; Gammaproteobacteria; Enterobacterales; Enterobacteriaceae. The record is from RNAcentral.
CUAAUCUGCGAUAAGCGUCGGUAAGGUGAUAUGAACCGUUAUAACCGGCGAUUUCCGAAUGGGGAAACCCAGUGUGUUUCGACACACUAUCAUUAACUGAAUCCAUAGGUUAAUGAGGCGAACCGGGGGAACUGAAACAUCUAAGUACCCCGAGGAAAAGAAAUCAACCGAGAUUCCCCCAGUAGCGGCGAGCGAACGGGGAGGAGCCCAGAGCCUGAAUCAGUGUGUGUGUUAGUGGAAGCGUCUGGAAAGGCGCGCGAUACAGGGUGACAGCCCCGUACACAAAAAUGCACAUGCUGUGAGCUCGAUGAGUAGGGCGGGACACGUGGUAUCCUGUCUGAAUAUGGGGGGACCAUCCUCCAAGGCUAAAUACUCCUGACUGACCGAUAGUGAACCAGUACCGUGAGGGAAAGGCGAAAAGAACCCCGGCGAGGGGAGUGAAAAAGAACCUGAAACCGUGUACGUACAAGCAGUGGGAGCCUCUUUUAUGGGGUGACUGCGUACCUUUUGUAUAAUGGGUCAGCGACUUAUAUUCUGUAGCAAGGUUAACCGAAUAGGGGAGCCGAAGGGAAACCGAGUCUUAACUGGGCGUUAAGUUGCAGGGUAUAGACCCGAAACCCGGUGAUCUAGCCAUGGGCAGGUUGAAGGUUGGGUAACACUAACUGGAGGACCGAACCGACUAAUGUUGAAAAAUUAGCGGAUGACUUGUGGCUGGGGGUGAAAGGCCAAUCAAACCGGGAGAUAGCUGGUUCUCCCCGAAAGCUAUUUAGGUAGCGCCUCGUGAAUUCAUCUCCGGGGGUAGAGCACUGUUUCGGCAAGGGGGUCAUCCCGACUUACCAACCCGAUGCAAACUGCGAAUACCGGAGAAUGUUAUCACGGGAGACACACGGCGGGUGCUAACGUCCGUCGUGAAGAGGGAAACAACCCAGACCGCCAGCUAAGGUCCCAAAGUCAUGGUUAAGUGGGAAACGAUGUGGGAAGGCCCAGACAGCCAGGAUGUUGGCUUAGAAGCAGCCAUCAUUUAAAGAAAGCGUAAUAGCUCACUGGUCGAGUCGGCCUGCGCGGAAGAUGUAACGGGGCUAAACCAUGCACCGAAGCUGCGGCAGCGACGCUUAUGCGUUGUUGGGUAGGGGAGCGUUCUGUAAGCCUGUGAAGGUGUACUGUGAGGUAUGCUGGAGGUAUCAGAAGUGCGAAUGCUGACAUAAGUAACGAUAAAGCGGGUGAAAAGCCCGCUCGCCGGAAGACCAAGGGUUCCUGUCCAACGUUAAUCGGGGCAGGGUGAGUCGACCCCUAAGGCGAGGCCGAAAGGCGUAGUCGAUGGGAAACAGGUUAAUAUUCCUGUACUUGGUGUUACUGCGAAGGGGGGACGGAGAAGGCUAUGUUGGCCGGGCGACGGUUGUCCCGGUUUAAGCGUGUAGGCUGGUUUUCCAGGCAAAUCCGGAAAAUCAAGGCUGAGGCGUGAUGACGAGGCACUACGGUGCUGAAGCAACAAAUGCCCUGCUUCCAGGAAAAGCCUCUAAGCAUCAGGUAACAUCAAAUCGUACCCCAAACCGACACAGGUGGUCUGGUAGAGAAUACCAAGGCGCUUGAGAGAACUCGGGUGAAGGAACUAGGCAAAAUGGUGCCGUAACUUCGGGAGAAGGCACGCUGAUAUGUAGGUGAAGUCCCUCGCGGAUGGAGCUGAAAUCAGUCGAAGAUACCAGCUGGCUGCAACUGUUUAUUAAAAACACAGCACUGUGCAAACACGAAAGUGGACGUAUACGGUGUGACGCCUGCCCGGUGCCGGAAGGUUAAUUGAUGGGGUCAGCGCAAGCGAAGCUCUUGAUCGAAGCCCCGGUAAACGGCGGCCGUAACUAUAACGGUCCUAAGGUAGCGAAAUUCCUUGUCGGGUAAGUUCCGACCUGCACGAAUGGCGUAAUGAUGGCCAGGCUGUCUCCACCCGAGACUCAGUGAAAUUGAACUCGCUGUGAAGAUGCAGUGUACCCGCGGCAAGACGGAAAGACCCCGUGAACCUUUACUAUAGCUUGACACUGAACAUUGAGCCUUGAUGUGUAGGAUAGGUGGGAGGCUUAGAAGUGUGGACGCCAGUCUGCAUGGAGCCGACCUUGAAAUACCACCCUUUAAUGUUUGAUGUUCUAACGUGGACCCGUGAUCCGGGUUGCGGACAGUGUCUGGUGGGUAGUUUGACUGGGGCGGUCUCCUCCUAAAGAGUAACGGAGGAGCACGAAGGUUGGCUAAUCCUGGUCGGACAUCAGGAGGUUAGUGCAAUGGCAUAAGCCAGCUUGACUGCGAGCGUGACGGCGCGAGCAGGUGCGAAAGCAGGUCAUAGUGAUCCGGUGGUUCUGAAUGGAAGGGCCAUCGCUCAACGGAUAAAAGGUACUCCGGGGAUAACAGGCUGAUACCGCCCAAGAGUUCAUAUCGACGGCGGUGUUUGGCACCUCGAUGUCGGCUCAUCACAUCCUGGGGCUGAAGUAGGUCCCAAGGGUAUGGCUGUUCGCCAUUUAAAGUGGUACGCGAGCUGGGUUUAGAACGUCGUGAGACAGUUCGGUCCCUAUCUGCCGUGGGCGCUGGAGAACUGAGGGGGGCUGCUCCUAGUACGAGAGGACCGGAGUGGACGCAUCACUGGUGUUCGGGUUGUCAUGCCAAUGGCACUGCCCGGUAGCUAAAUGCGGAAGAGAUAAGUGCUGAAAGCAUCUAAGCACGAAACUUGCCCCGAGAUGAGUUCUCCCUGACUCCUUGAGAGUCCUGAAGGAACGUUGAAGACGACGACGUUGAUAGGCCGGGUGUGUAAGCGCAGCGAUGCGUUGAGCUAACCGGUACUAAUGAACCGUGAGGCUUAACCUU